AUACGGAGGGUGCGAGCGUUACUCGGAGUCACUGGGCGUAAAGCGUCCGUAGGCGGUCGGGUAAGUCGGGUGUGAAGGCCCCGGGCUCAACCUGGGAAGUGCACCCGAUACUGCUCGACUCGAGUGCGGGAGAGGAUGGCGGAAUUCCCGGUGUAGCGGUGAAAUGCGUAGAGAUCGGGAGGAACACCAGUGGCGAAGGCGGCCAUCUGGCCCGCAACUGACGCUGAGGGACGAAAGCGUGGGGAGCAAACAGGAUUAGAAACCCUUGUAGUCC
Molecule: ribosomal RNA, 274 nt
Filed under: uncultured bacterium
Lineage: Bacteria
Description: partial 16S ribosomal RNA
Rfam family: Bacterial small subunit ribosomal RNA
Source: RNAcentral